RNAcentral lists this transfer RNA (72 nucleotides) under Phrynosoma platyrhinos (Desert horned lizard). RNAcentral's name for it is "tRNA-OTHER". The record is from RNAcentral. Lineage: Eukaryota; Metazoa; Chordata; Lepidosauria; Squamata; Phrynosomatidae.
GCCAGUGUGGCGUAGUGGUUUGAGUGCUGAACUAUGACUCUGGAGACCAGGGUUCAUUUCCCAGCUCAGUCA